Molecule: long non-coding RNA, 1002 nt
Organism: Lemur catta (Ring-tailed lemur)
Lineage: Eukaryota; Metazoa; Chordata; Mammalia; Primates; Lemuridae
Exons: 3
Source: RefSeq, a predicted model, not a curated record
GGCUCUUCCAAGGAAUCUGUGCUGGCAUUAAUUGGGGUAAGGGGCCCACCGUUACACUAAAAGCUUUGGGAGGCAAAAUAUCUUUUCCCAGAUCUCCUUCAGCCUGACAGCUCUUGUCCAAAGUGUUGUAACUGAGGUCGCUGGAACCCAGGUGGGGGGAGCCCGGAAUGCUGGGAGAGCACUGGGGGGAGGGGACUGAGAGAAAGAAAACAGCAGCCACCCACAGAAACCUGUUUGCACAGCUCCUGUAACCAGGUCGGUCCAUGAUGACUAUGCCCCAAACCUGUAUUUCCAACUGGUCACCUCCCAUCUUCUAUUCAUGGAUUCUUGACAGGGGGCCAGAGUCCCUGCAACUGGUCACAGAAGUUUGGCUGGCGAGCUUCUUGGUAGGAACUGUGUCGUCUCGCCUGUCCCCGUGUAAUCAGCCCCAAACACGACGUCCUAGUUCGUGUGGGAACUGAAAUCACAUCUGUCAAUGGAUCGGAAUCGAAUUCCUACGUGAUACCAAAGGCGGAAACCACGAAGGAAAGAUGGAGGAUUUCACUACAUAAAUUUUCAGUCCUCUCUGUACUGAAAUAUUUACAGCAGUGCCAAGAAUUGCGGGGUGACGUUACGGGCAGGACGGAUGGGUUCCAGCGUGAGGUCCACCUUGGCCACCUCCCUGCCUCGCUGCGUCUGCUGUCGCUCGGCAAUGCUCACUGACGUCCCCUCUCCUGUGCCCACGGCUGUCCCAGACCGGCUCCCCUCGUCCCGCCCAGCCCUGCCUGCGCGGCGGACUGUAUUAAGAGCAGGGUUGCGUGAAGUGACUGCUCUCAACUCGUCUCUGCUCUGGGCCCACUUACCCAGUGGGCGGGGAGGGCAGAGCGCAUUUGAAUUCCCACAACUCUUUUAAGGACCCACGAAGAUGUUUUGAUGUCUUUUUAAAAUCAGAAGAAAAAAAUGAACUUUUAGGUUGAAGAAAAUGUUUUAAUAUGUAAUAUUACUAUGUUUGUCUUCAAUACA